This 2182-nucleotide ribosomal RNA is filed under the name Escherichia coli. RNAcentral describes it as "partial 23S ribosomal RNA". It matches the Rfam family "Bacterial large subunit ribosomal RNA", at positions 1 to 2207 of the family's 2925-position model. Lineage: Bacteria; Pseudomonadati; Pseudomonadota; Gammaproteobacteria; Enterobacterales; Enterobacteriaceae. The record is from RNAcentral.
GGUUAAGCGACUAAGCGUACACGGUGGAUGCCCUGGCAGUCAGAGGCGAUGAAGGACGUGCUAAUCUGCGAUAAGCGUCGGUGAGGUGAUAUGAACCGUUAUAACCGGCGAUUUCCGAAUGGGGAAACCCAGUGUGUUUCGACACACUAUCAUUAACUGAAUCCAUAGGUUAAUGAGGCGAACCGGGGGAACUGAAACAUCUAAGUACCCCGAGGAAAAGAAAUCAACCGAGAUUCCCCCAGUAGCGGCGAGCGAACGGGGAGGAGCCCAGAGCCUGAAUCAGUGUGUGUGUUAGUGGAAGCGUCUGGAAAGGCGCGCGAUACAGGGUGACAGCCCCGUACACAAAAAUGCACAUAUUGUGAGCUCGAUGAGUAGGGCGGGACACGUGGUAUCCUGUCUGAAUAUGGGGGGACCAUCCUCCAAGGCUAAAUACUCCUGACUGACCGAUAGUGAACCAGUACCGUGAGGGAAAGGCGAAAAGAACCCCGGCGAGGGGAGUGAAAAAGAACCUGAAACCGUGUACGUACAAGCAGUGGGAGCCUCUUAAUGGGGUGACUGCGUACCUUUUGUAUAAUGGGUCAGCGACUUAUAUUCUGUAGCAAGGUUAACCGAAUAGGGGAGCCGAAGGGAAACCGAGUCUUAACUGGGCGUUAAGUUGCAGGGUAUAGACCCGAAACCCGGUGAUCUAGCCAUGGGCAGGUUGAAGGUUGGGUAACACUAACUGGAGGACCGAACCGACUAAUGUUGAAAAAUUAGCGGAUGACUUGUGGCUGGGGGUGAAAGGCCAAUCAAACCGGGAGAUAGCUGGUUCUCCCCGAAAGCUAUUUAGGUAGCGCCUCGUGAAUUCAUCUCCGGGGGUAGAGCACUGUUUCGGCAAGGGGGUCAUCCCGACUUACCAACCCGAUGCAAACUGCGAAUACCGGAGAAUGUUAUCACGGGAGACACACGGCGGGUGCUAACGUCCGUCGUGAAGAGGGAAACAACCCAGACCGCCAGCUAAGGUCCCAAAGUCAUGGUUAAGUGGGAAACGAUGUGGGAAGGCCCAGACAGCCAGGAUGUUGGCUUAGAAGCAGCCAUCAUUUAAAGAAAGCGUAAUAGCUCACUGGUCGAGUCGGCCUGCGCGGAAGAUGUAACGGGGCUAAACCAUGCACCGAAGCUGCGGCAGCGACGCUUAUGCGUUGUUGGGUAGGGGAGCGUUCUGUAAGCCUGUGAAGGUGUGCUGUGAGGCAUGCUGGAGGUAUCAGAAGUGCGAAUGCUGACAUAAGUAACGAUAAAGCGGGUGAAAAGCCCGCUCGCCGGAAGACCAAGGGUUCCUGUCCAACGUUAAUCGGGGCAGGGUGAGUCGACCCCUAAGGCGAGGCCGAAAGGCGUAGUCGAUGGGAAACAGGUUAAUAUUCCUGUACUUGGUGUUACUGCGAAGGGGGGACGGAGAAGGCUAUGUUGGCCGGGCGACGGUUGUCCCGGUUUAAGCGUGUAGGCUGGUUUUCCAGGCAAAUCCGGAAAACCAAGGCUGAGGCGUGAUGACGAGGCACUACGGUGCUGAAGCGACAAAUGCCCUGCUUCCAGGAAAAGCCUCUAAGCAUCAGGUAACAUCAAAUCGUACCCCAAACCGACACAGGUGGUCAGGUAGAGAAUACCAAGGCGCUUGAGAGAACUCGGGUGAAGGAACUAGGCAAAAUGGUGCCGUAACUUCGGGAGAAGGCACGCUGAUAUGUAGGUGAAGCGACUUGCUCGUGGAGCUGAAAUCAGUCGAAGAUACCAGCUGGCUGCAACUGUUUAUUAAAAACACAGCACUGUGCAAACACGAAAGUGGACGUAUACGGUGUGACGCCUGCCCGGUGCCGGAAGGUUAAUUGAUGGGGUUAGCGGUAACGCGAAGCUCUUGAUCGAAGCCCCGGUAAACGGCGGCCGUAACUAUAACGGUCCUAAGGUAGCGAAAUUCCUUGUCGGGUAAGUUCCGACCUGCACGAAUGGCGUAAUGAUGGCCAGGCUGUCUCCACCCGAGACUCAGUGAAAUUGAACUCGCUGUGAAGAUGCAGUGUACCCGCGGCAAGACGGAAAGACCCCGUGAACCUUUACUAUAGCUUGACACUGAACAUUGAGCCUUGAUGUGUAGGAUAGGUGGGAGGCUUUGAAGUGUGGACGCCAGUCUGCAUGGAGCCGACCUUGAAAUACCACCCUU